RNAcentral lists this small RNA (254 nucleotides) under Sorex araneus (European shrew). Its description in RNAcentral is "7SK RNA (ENSSARG00000019759.1)". It matches the Rfam family "7SK RNA", at positions 70 to 331 of the family's 331-position model. From Rfam's summary of the family: 7SK was discovered as an abundant small nuclear RNA in the mid-70s but a possible function has only recently been suggested. Lineage: Eukaryota; Metazoa; Chordata; Mammalia; Eulipotyphla; Soricidae. The record is from RNAcentral.
UCAUGCUAGGCAGGGUCUCCUUUCCCUCUCACUGCUCAAUGUAUGGCCUCUCUAAGCUGAGUGCUCAGUCCGUCGAGGAGGACAGCUGUCCCUGAACAGAAAGGACUGGUAUCUACCUGGGGCAUACAGGGAAAUACUAGAGGUAUACAUAUAGCUGCACUCCCCUGCUAGAACCUCCAAACAAACGAGAGCUGACAGAUCAAUCAAGCCAAAGACAUCUGGUAAAUUUUAUAUAAAUAAUAUAUAUGUGAACC